GACGAACCGUACGAACGUUAUUCGGAAUCACUGGGCUUAAAGGGUGCGUAGGCGGCGCGACAAGUUGGGUGUGAAAUCCCUCGGCUCAACCGAGGAACUGCGCCCAAAACUGUCGUGCUCGAGGGAGACAGAGGUGAGCGGAACUUAGGGUGGAGCGGUGAAAUGCGUUGAUAUCCUAAGGAACACCGGUGGCGAAAGCGGCUCACUGGGUCUCUUCUGACGCUGAGGCACGAAAGCUAGGGUAGCGAACAGG
RNAcentral lists this ribosomal RNA (253 nucleotides) under uncultured bacterium. RNAcentral describes it as "partial 16S ribosomal RNA". It matches the Rfam family "Bacterial small subunit ribosomal RNA", at positions 524 to 776 of the family's 1533-position model. The record is from RNAcentral.